CAUGACAUUCAGAUCAUGGAUGUAGGAAUUUUACAUAGGAUGCCUGAUUUAAGGGAGUAUAAGAAAAGUAUAAGAUGAAGUAAUUCUUAAUUUGGGUAUGUUCCACUACCCCAAAAGUUCUGUGACAAAGAGUACUUAGUGACAACCCAGAAAAGAGACUCUUAAUCUUCAGCCUGAAACAGCUGAAACCCUGGAAAGCCAUCUUAUUCACUGUGAUGCAGUCAUCACUGACUAGCAUUGAAUAUUAGAUUCCCAAUUGUGUGAAUUGUUUGAAGGUGUCACUAAACUAGAAGACUGAAAAUUCAUUUUAAGAAUUAAAUUGAGGAAAACGUACUGCAUAAAUGAGGAAUUACAAAGAACUGGCAAUUAACUGAGCAUGCUAAAUGGAUUCCAUGAGUAAGUUUUCAAGAUAGGGUAUACUUACUACAUGCAUUUUGC
Molecule: long non-coding RNA, 438 nt
Organism: Perognathus longimembris pacificus (Pacific pocket mouse)
Lineage: Eukaryota; Metazoa; Chordata; Mammalia; Rodentia; Heteromyidae
Exons: 2
Source: RefSeq, a predicted model, not a curated record